RNAcentral lists this small RNA (799 nucleotides) under uncultured Davidiella. Its description in RNAcentral is "eukaryotic LSU rRNA". The stretch from base 532 to 799 matches the Rfam family "Eukaryotic large subunit ribosomal RNA", at positions 1 to 266 of the family's 3401-position model. The record is from RNAcentral. Lineage: Eukaryota; Fungi; Ascomycota; Dothideomycetes; Cladosporiales; Cladosporiaceae.
CUUGGUCAUUUAGAGGAAGUAAAAGUCGUAACAAGGUCUCCGUAGGUGAACCUGCGGAGGGAUCAUUACAAGAACGCCCGGGCUUCGGCCUGGUUAUUCAUAACCCUUUGUUGUCCGACUCUGUUGCCUCCGGGGCGACCCUGCCUUCGGGCGGGGGCUCCGGGUGGACACUUCAAACUCUUGCGUAACUUUGCAGUCUGAGUAAACUUAAUUAAUAAAUUAAAACUUUUAACAACGGAUCUCUUGGUUCUGGCAUCGAUGAAGAACGCAGCGAAAUGCGAUAAGUAAUGUGAAUUGCAGAAUUCAGUGAAUCAUCGAAUCUUUGAACGCACAUUGCGCCCCCUGGUAUUCCGGGGGGCAUGCCUGUUCGAGCGUCAUUUCACCACUCAAGCCUCGCUUGGUAUUGGGCAACGCGGUCCGCCGCGUGCCUCAAAUCGUCCGGCUGGGUCUUCUGUCCCCUAAGCGUUGUGGAAACUAUUCGCUAAAGGGUGUUCGGGAGGCUACGCCGUAAAACAACCCCAUUUCUAAGGUUGACCUCGGAUCAGGUAGGGAUACCCGCUGAACUUAAGCAUAUCAAUAAGCGGAGGAAAAGAAACCAACAGGGAUUGCUCUAGUAACGGCGAGUGAAGCAGCAAUAGCUCAAAUUUGAAAUCUGGCGUCUUCGACGUCCGAGUUGUAAUUUGUAGAGGAUGCUUCUGAGUGGCCACCGACCUAAGUUCCUUGGAACAGGACGUCAUAGAGGGUGAGAAUCCCGUAUGCGGUCGGAAAGGCGCUCUAUACGUAGCUCCUUCGACGAGUC